AUAUUGUGCGAUUUUCUGCCUUGAUAUUCUGGGAUAUGGGGCUGUGUGGAAGGGCCCUGAGAUGGCCUCUCUCUUUUGGAGAGAAAAAUAAUAAUAAAAAGAAGCAGUAUUCUGCCAAAUUGAGAGGGCUCGACUCUUUUGCAAGAUAGGAAAGGAAGGAAAUGUAAGAUUAGCAGCACUGAAACAGAACAAACAAAGCAAGCAGCCGGUAGAAAACGCAAAUUUGUGACGAAUUGGGGGGGGGGGGGAAUGGGAGGAGGAGAAGAAAAGGAAGAAAGAAAAAAAUGGGGAAAAGAAAGAAACCUCCGAAAAUGGAAAGCUGACCCUGAAAAUAGUAAAGAAAAAGUGGGGAGAGGGGAAACAAAGCGAGUUGGUUGAUCUUUAAAGUUAGAGCCCUGUAGGAUUUGCAGGAAUUGAGAGAAAGAGCAACAUAAAGGGAAUAAUAAUUCAGAGCUGUCACAGUUAUGCUUCUGAAGGCUCUUGUAAGGCUGAGGAUCUCACGGGGCCACAGAGAACCUAUUGACCACCCUCCCAGCUGCUCUUUCUCUCCCCCAUCGUGGGCUGUGGGCUAUUUUGUGCGUGUCGGGUGCUUUGUUUUGGGGGGUAUUUCCCCCCUCUCUCUUUCCUGUUGUAGCCCAACGCAGGAUCCUUUUCUCCGAGAUUUAAAUUUCGCGGAUGAAUUACCCGAAGCGGGUUGCUUAGCAACGGGAUUGAAGCAGGGCUAAGAAUAUGCAAGGCUCUCUCUCUCUCUUUUUGUAUUCUCAUUAAUAAAAGAGCCACUCUGACACAGCAACCUGACUUUGGAUCGCUGCAACUUCUGUAAAAGCCAUUGGAGAAUUACAAGGCGGCCUUGGCAUUUAAUUACAGAUCGGGAUGGCUGGCAAGGGGAGGCUCUCGGCGUGUGUACGUGCGAGGGAGAAAGGGUUUGCUUUGGGAAGCUGUGUUUGCGCUUGAGGUGGCCUGCCCAGGCGGCCCUGGCCCACUUUCCUCGGAGUCAGUCCGGCUCAACUCCUGGGGACUCACUGCUGAGGAAACGCACCUCAGGGGUGGCUCAGCUGCGUUGGGUUGCUGUGACUUUUCCGGCUGUAUGGCCAUGCUCCACGUUUCACCCACAUCUAGGGCAGGCAUCCUCAGAGGUUGUGAGGUCUGUUGGAAACUAGGCAUGUGGGCUUUAUAUAUCUGUGGAAGGUCCAGAGCUGGAGAAAGAGCGCUUGUCUACCUGAGGCAAACGUGAAUGUUGCAAUUGGCCAGCUCAACGGCGUUUGUUGAAUGGAUUUAGUUCUUGGUGGCUUCGAUAAACGGCAUGUAAACUUUUAUUUUAAUGGGCAAAUAUUCUGGACCCAGUUCUUGAGCUCACUCUCGCCUCAUUUCUCUUUCCUUACCUGCAGAAAACUGAAUAAUUUCGGGAACAACGAUUCCAAACAUACGGAUGAAGCGAAAGUCGUUCCCACUUUUGAGAUCACCGUUUGAGGCCCCAUCUACACUGCCAUAUAAUGCAGUUUAACUCCACGGGAGUCAUCAAAAUGUGAUCUCACUCUGCUACCCAAGAUUUAGAAAGGAAACCUAAGUUCCAGGGGUCUCCAUAAGUCGACAGGAGACUGGGAGGAAGAGACACACACGGUGCUGCCUAUUUGCUUCUAGAAGUCCUCCCAAUGUUUUCUUCCGGGCUUUUCUUCCAAUAGAGCUGAGCUUUAGUUUUCCCUUUCCAUGUAUAUCGCAUUUACCCCGGAAAUAAGACAUACCCAUAGUACCCAUAGCUACAAGCUGAGGCAUAGAGCGAGACAUUGAAAGUGGAAGUAAAAGUUUCCUCAGUGAAGUGAGGAGCAGGAAGCUCUGCUUUAGUUAUUGAGUGUCCUCAGGGAGAAGAAGUAAAGCUGUGGGUCUCUUUCUCUCCCCAGCACCAACCAGCUGGUGGCUCUCUCUCACCCCACACAAACACCAGUAAAGCCGCUGCUCCCCAGGACUGAUCAGCAACAGUCUGUAGGUCUCUCUCCCCCCCCCCCCCCCCACAAGCAUCAGGGGAUAGGGGAAACCGUCUGCAAGCAGUCUGCUACUGAGUCUAGGGAGAUCAUCCCAUACAUGCAGAUUAUUGUACCAUACUUAAUCAAAAUAAUACAUCCUUUGAAAUAUAAGACAUAGUGUGCCUUCUUGAGGAAAAAUAAAUAUAAGACAGUGUCUUGUUUUGGGGGAAACUUGGUAUAUGUGUCACCUGUCGACUUAUGGUGAACCCAGGUAUAUUAUAUAAGGGUUUCUUAGGCAAGGAGUACUCAAGUUUAGCCGAUUCCUUUGAAAGACAGCUUACACCGCAGGGAAUGUAUUGAAGGUCUCCCAUCCAAAUAGUAACCAGGGCUGAACCUCCUUAGCUUCCAAUAUCAGAUAGGAUAUGGUGCUUUUAGGCUAUUUGGCCCUAUCGCAUUUAUAUUGUUGCUGCUAUUGUUGUUGUUGUUGUUAUUAUUAUUAUUAUUAUUAUUAUUAUUAUUAUUAUUAUCUGAUCUGCCUUUUAGACGUAUAACUCUCCGCUAAAUGUGCAGACCCUACAGAAGAAACAAGUUAGCCGCAGAGUCCGGCAAAGAGCUUGGAUAUUUCCACAGGUAAAUUAAUCUGUGUCUAGCUCAGUCUGUGUUGUUUUAUAACGGCUUAUAACGGUUUCGUAUGACGAAGGUAUCAACUUAUACAGGUUAAAGGGAGAUAAACAAUAGGCCACAACGUAGACUUUCUCCGUGUCUUGAUUCCAUUGAAAAAGAGGAAAGUUGAUCAAUGUCAGCACUUGUGAGAUUAAGGGGGAUGUAUAAAAUCCGAGAGUGAGAGGAAACAUAAUUUUGUUGGAAGGGGAGAUGGUUGAUUUAGGAGAAAACAUCUUUCAUGUGUAGGAAAUUCGGAGGCGCUCUCUUUCAAUACUUUCUACUUCUACUCCUUUUUAAGACAGCAGGAUGACUCCAGUGCAAUCCCAAACAAGAGGGCCAGUAGCCUAGAAGAACCCUCUCUUAAAUUCUAUUGGGUUGCUAUAAGUUUUUCGGGCUGUAUGGCCAUGUUCCAGAAGCAUUCCCUCCUGACGUUUCUCUUGCAUCUAUGGCAGGCAUCCUCAGAGAUUGUGAGGUAUGUUGGAAACUAGUCAAGUGGGAUUUAUAUAUCUGUGGAAUGUUUCCGGGUGGAAGAAAGCCUUCAACAACACAUUAAAUUCCAUUGCUUGGAGUAAGUCUUGGUUUUGGAAAUCAGUCAAUGUUUUAGAAGUGAGGUGGAAACCAACGAUAGUAUUCCUCUUUGCUGAUCCCAGUAACCGAGGGCUGAAAUGUGAAAUCUCAAGUUGACGGGAACUGACCGCGCCUAAGAAAAGGGAUUCCAGUCAAUGAAUUCAAGUGAAAUCAUUGAACCCAAGGGAUUCAUUAGCUGAGAUUGUUGGGAUGGAAAUCCAGCUCUUCUUAUGCAUGCUUGUUUCCUGCUUUCAAGACAUUUGUUCAGGUUUGCCCUUGAGUCCCACUGAGGCUGAGAGGGUGUGACUUGCUCAGGGUCACUUAGGCCCCUUCUACACUGCCAUAUAAUCCAGAUUAUCAAAACAGAAUAAUCCACAUUAUCUGUUUUGAACUGAAAAAUAUGAGUAUACACUGCCAUACAAUCCAGUUCAAAGAAGAUAAUUUGGAUUUUAUAUGGCAGUGUAGGCCCCUUCCACCCAGCUGAAUAAAAUCCCACUUUAUCUGC
RNAcentral lists this long non-coding RNA (3696 nucleotides) under Anolis carolinensis (green anole). RNAcentral describes it as "lncRNA (ENSACAG00000036513.1)". The record is from RNAcentral. Lineage: Eukaryota; Metazoa; Chordata; Lepidosauria; Squamata; Anolidae.